CACUGAGCUAAAUCCCUGGCUCUGACUAAUGUUUUUUAAGCAAUCUUCUUUCUUACUGCUCAGGGGCUGCAGACAUUUUUCUGACAUGGGAGGAAGCCUGUUUCCGGUUGUCACGAGGCACCCACUGUUUGCAAGGAAGGAAGGAGCAUUAGUUUCUCCCCCCUGGAGGUCAAGUGGCAUGUUCUCCACAGAACUCCACGGAGGCAGAGCUGGGUUUCCUCUUCUCUGUGUGGAAGCCACAGUCAUGCGAAUCAGAAGCCUGCCUUUCUCUCAGGACAGGCGCCCAAGCUUUAAUGAAGGAAAAAGGGAGCAAGGGGGAAAAUCCACCCAGUCCACCCUCCGGACAGGAAAAGCGUUUGCCCAGCUCCUCAGGAGGUGACAGCCAAGGCGCAGCUGUGAAGGUGGGGUGGGCGCCUCUGAGACUGGGGUCGGGAGCUGUGGAGGCGGCCCUGGGCCGGUUUCUGCUGGGUCCUGGAGAUGCAGACGCCGUGUCCAC
This 496-nucleotide long non-coding RNA is filed under the name Heterocephalus glaber (naked mole-rat). Its description in RNAcentral is "lncRNA (ENSHGLG00100046476.1)". Lineage: Eukaryota; Metazoa; Chordata; Mammalia; Rodentia; Bathyergidae. The record is from RNAcentral.